CACCUCUAAAGCUGCUAAGGAAGCCUUUUUGGUUCAAGAAGUUCGUUGUGGAGCUGGAUGUAAUGCCAUUAGAUGCCAUUACACUGUACUGCAAUAAUAAUAAUACCAUAGCCCUUGCUAAGGAGCCCAGGUCUCACCAGAAGUCUAAACAUACAGAGUGAUGAUUUCACAUCAUACGCCAAUACCUUAGGAAGAAGUUUGUCAAGGUGCAGAGAUGUUGCUCCUAGAUUGAUUUUGAUGAUUACAAAGCAGAUUGAAGGGAUACAAAUAUUUUUUAUUUGAAAAAGUCUUUAUGCUCUUCAGGGGCAAAAACAUAAUUUUACCAAAAUCCUGAUUUAAAUUUUAUCAUUUGGUAGAACAAA
RNAcentral lists this long non-coding RNA (362 nucleotides) under Elaeis guineensis (African oil palm). RNAcentral's name for it is "long non-coding RNA (EGUI_LNC068890)". The record is from RNAcentral. Lineage: Eukaryota; Viridiplantae; Streptophyta; Magnoliopsida; Arecales; Arecaceae.